CUCAUGUCUCAUCAGUUCCCACCAAGGACUACAUGUUUCUGCCCUGCAGCAUCACUGAAUUUUCUUGCAAAAUGCUAUUUCUCCAUUAUCUUCCAAUGUUGGUUUUUAUUCUUAACUAUACCGAGAAUACCUUUCUCCACCUCUUCUUUCCCAUGACUACUCUCAUCUCCCACCCUUUCCAAAUAUAGUUCCUAUUCAAUUUUCAAGCCAAAACUCUUUCUACAAAUAUAAGUUAAAAUUUAAAAGAUGCCUUCUAUCUAUUUAAAUAAUUGCAUUUUGGGAUGCCACUAUAGGGAUACAAAAGAAGCAGAAACAGAAACACAUAGAGGAAAAAUAAUUUUUAAUAGAUUUAUAAGAUAUGAAAAUACAAUGGUGAAUGGUUAUUUAUUAUGAAUCAACAAAUGUUGAUUUGUAUUUGUAACAAAAGUUGUUUG
This 434-nucleotide long non-coding RNA is filed under the name Pan troglodytes (chimpanzee). Its description in RNAcentral is "long non-coding RNA NONPTRT012476". The record is from RNAcentral. Lineage: Eukaryota; Metazoa; Chordata; Mammalia; Primates; Hominidae.